Impatiens glandulifera is the source of this 86-nucleotide small nucleolar RNA. RefSeq annotates it as small nucleolar RNA snoR64a. The transcript has a single exon. NCBI's taxonomy places the organism in Eukaryota, Viridiplantae, Streptophyta, Magnoliopsida, Ericales, Balsaminaceae. The record is from RefSeq and is a predicted model, not a curated record.
UCACUUUCAAGUUGAGUACUCAUAAUCCUUUACAAAGAUUUUAUGUGGGUAUUGUGAUUUUCUUCUUGAAUAGGAAGAUCUGAUGC